Molecule: ribosomal RNA, 229 nt
Filed under: uncultured bacterium
Lineage: Bacteria
Description: partial 16S ribosomal RNA
Rfam family: Bacterial small subunit ribosomal RNA
Source: RNAcentral
UCCGUAGGCGGGCUUUUAAGUCAGUGGUGAAAUCCCAGAGCUCAACUCUGGAACUGCCAUUGAUACUGAAGGUCUUGAAUUUAGUUGAGGUGGGCGGAAUACGUUAUGUAGCGGUGAAAUGCAUAGAUAUAACGUAGAACACCGAUUGCGAAGGCAGCUCACUAAGCUAACAUUGACGCUGAUGGACGAAAGCGUGGGGAGCGAACAGGAUUAGAUACCCUGGUAGUCC